RNAcentral lists this long non-coding RNA (588 nucleotides) under Rattus norvegicus (Norway rat). RNAcentral's name for it is "long non-coding RNA NONRATT028199". Lineage: Eukaryota; Metazoa; Chordata; Mammalia; Rodentia; Muridae. The record is from RNAcentral.
CACUAACUGACCCCCAGCACAGACCCUCCUGGCCAGGGCCAGCAGACACAGACUAGGGGCUGGACUGCAGCUGGAUGGCCCUGGCCCUGGGUCCUGGUGCAGCUUCUUGGAGAUUUUACUCCUUGUCUUAGGGAAGAAAGGAACAGAGAGGGACUGGUCGGCAGCACCCCUCCAGGUGUGGGCAGGCCCAAGGCGCUCGGCGGAGUUGGCUGUCUUCUGGGCGAGGAGGCACUGAACGAGCAGUUAUCCCUGGAUAGGCACCCUUUCUUAGCCUGAGGAGCCAGGCUGCAAGUGUGCCCUCAGCCCCUCCCCCGUGUCCACUGGGGAGACCCUGUCCCAUUUGCCUCCACACUCCUGCCCCACUGCCCAAGGUUGGGCUUCAAGCUCCUCCAGUGUAGUUCUUCCUCCAGCGGUACCCUUAACCUCUGGGCUUCCAUGAUGUCCUCAGGGACCCUUCCUGCUAUUUCUAACCUCUGGCCCCAGUGCCUGGCAGCUCUCCAGAGCUGGCUAACAUUUUCCAAAAAAUAAUAAUAAAAGAAAAGGAAUGAAAGAGUUGACCAACUCAAGGGGUCACCAACCCUUAUCCCU